GAACGCUGGCGGCAGGCCUAACACAUGCAAGUCGAACGGUAACAGGAAGAAGCUUGCUUCUUUGCUGACGAGUGGCGGACGGGUGAGUAAUGUCUGGGAAACUGCCUGAUGGAGGGGGAUAACUACUGGAAACGGUAGCUAAUACCGCAUAACGUCGCAAGACCAAAGAGGGGGACCUUCGGGCCUCUUGCCAUCGGAUGUGCCCAGAUGGGAUUAGCUAGUAGGUGGGGUAACGGCUCACCUAGGCGACGAUCCCUAGCUGGUCUGAGAGGAUGACCAGCCACACUGGAACUGAGACACGGUCCAGACUCCUACGGGAGGCAGCAGUGGGGAAUAUUGCACAAUGGGCGCAAGCCUGAUGCAGCCAUGCCGCGUGUAUGAAGAAGGCCUUCGGGUUGUAAAGUACUUUCAGCGGGGAGGAAGGGAGUAAAGUUAAUACCUUUGCUCAUUGACGUUACCCGCAGAAGAAGCACCGGCUAACUCCGUGCCAGCAGCCGCGGUAAUACGGAGGGUGCAAGCGUUAAUCGGAAUUACUGGGCGUAAAGCGCACGCAGGCGGUUUGUUAAGUCAGAUGUGAAAUCCCCGGGCUCAACCUGGGAACUGCAUCUGAUACUGGCAAGCUUGAGUCUCGUAGAGGGGGGUAGAAUUCCAGGUGUAGCGGUGAAAUGCGUAGAGAUCUGGAGGAAUA
RNAcentral lists this ribosomal RNA (688 nucleotides) under uncultured Pseudomonadota bacterium. RNAcentral describes it as "bacterial SSU rRNA". It matches the Rfam family "Bacterial small subunit ribosomal RNA", at positions 31 to 708 of the family's 1533-position model. Lineage: Bacteria; Pseudomonadati; Pseudomonadota. The record is from RNAcentral.